Molecule: ribosomal RNA, 433 nt
Filed under: uncultured bacterium
Lineage: Bacteria
Description: bacterial SSU rRNA
Rfam family: Bacterial small subunit ribosomal RNA
Source: RNAcentral
AACGAACGCUGGCGGCAGGCCUAACACAUGCAAGUCGAACGCCGUAGCAAUACGGAGUGGCAGACGGGUGAGUAACACGUGGGAACGUACCCUUCGGUUCGGAAUAACUCAGGGAAACUUGAGCUAAUACCGGAUACGUCCGAGAGGAGAAAGAUUUAUCGCCGAGGGAUCGGCCCGCGUCUGAUUAGCUUGUUGGUGAGGUAACGGCUCACCAAGGCGACGAUCAGUAGCUGGCUGAGAGGAUGAUCAGCCACAUUGGGACUGAGACACGGCCCAAACUCCUACGGGAGGCAGCAGUGGGGAAUAUUGGACAAUGGGCGCAAGCCUGAUCCAGCCAUGCCGCGUGAGUGAUGAAGGCCCUAGGGUUGUAAAGCUCUUUUACCCGGGAAGAUAAUGACUGUACCGGGAGAAUAAGCCCCGCUAACUUCGUGCC